This 775-nucleotide ribosomal RNA is filed under the name uncultured Neocallimastigales. Its description in RNAcentral is "partial large subunit ribosomal RNA". It matches the Rfam family "Eukaryotic large subunit ribosomal RNA", at positions 23 to 635 of the family's 3401-position model. The record is from RNAcentral. Lineage: Eukaryota; Fungi; Neocallimastigomycota; Neocallimastigomycetes; Neocallimastigales.
GAGACUCUGUGCGCGUGCAUAUCAAUAAGCGGAGGAAAAGAAACUAACAAGGAUUCCCCUAGUAACGGCGAGUGAAGCGGGAAGAGCUCAAAUUUGAAAUCUUAAAGGGUUUCCCUUUACGAAUUGUAGUUUAAAGAAGUGUUUUCUGUUGGAGUUUCGGUAAAAGUUCUUUGGAAUAGGACAUCAUAGAGGGUGAGAAUCCCGUAUUUGACCGUUACUUUCCAGCUGUGUGAUACACUUUCAAAGAGUCGGAUUGUUUGGGAAUGCAGUCCAAAAUGGGUGGUAAAUUUCAUCUAAAGCUAAAUAUUGGCGAGAGACCGAUAGCGAACAAGUACCGUGAGGGAAAGAUGAAAAGAACUUCGAAAAGAGAGUUAAACAGUACGUGAAAUUGUCAAAAGGGAAGCGUUUGACACCAGUGUUGUUUUCUCGAAAAUCAAUUAAAAAUGGUGGGAUGUUGUGUUGUAUUGACUUUAUCAGCUUUCUGCACUUUUUUCCUAUCUUUUUUAAUGCACUUUUCGUUUAACAAGUCAACGUCAAUUUCUUCUGUUGUAAAAGGGUCAUUGGAAGGUGGCUUUCUUUUCGGAGAAAGUGUUUAUAGCCUUUGGCCUCUGCAAUCGGAGAGAUUGAGGUCUGCAGCGUAGGUCCUUCGGGGUUAGAUACAUUUGUGCUAAGCUAUAGCCUUUCAUAGACAACUUGUUGACUAUGAUCAGUCAUGUAGCUUACUCGCUUAUGCUAUUUUACCUACGCUUAGGAUGUUGAAGAUGUAGCACAUCAU